This 170-nucleotide non-coding RNA is filed under the name bovine gut metagenome. RNAcentral's name for it is "Lysine riboswitch". It matches the Rfam family "Lysine riboswitch aptamer". From Rfam's summary of the family: Riboswitches are metabolite binding domains within certain messenger RNAs that serve as precision sensors for their corresponding targets. Allosteric rearrangement of mRNA structure is mediated by ligand binding, and this results in modulation of gene expression. The record is from RNAcentral.
UUUGAUAGAGGUUGCGCGACUUAUUAGUAGGCUGCCGGAUGUGCCCGAACACAGGAGAAAGCAGACAAAAGGAAGGAGCGCCGAAGGUGUACUGUGCUCGGGAGCAGUUUUGCCUGGGUGCAGGUCGAACAGGUCUGCAACUGUCAUCAUGCAUAUGAUGGAGCGCUAUC